UUAGACCUGAUGGGGAGACGUGAGUUAUCAUUUAAUCCACGCAUUACUGUUUGGCACACCUUGGGUGUUUGACAUAUUACACUAUGACAUACCUUGGGGUGUGUUUAACUUAUAUCUAUUUUCUUGUGCUAGGCACUGGUUAGAAUUAUAUACAUUUAGAAAAAAAUGUGAGAAAGCCAAAUGGUGUGCUAACAAUUCUGUCCAGACUACAGUGGAUGGUAGCCUUGGUGGUUUGUAUAAGUUUCUUAUGGUGUGUAAAGCCAUUUGAUAUAGUUUUCUAAUUUGUAUCAAAAAUUUCAGACCAUCGCAUCCCUUCAAGGAGUUCAAGGGCCUGAGAUUCCAUGUAUUGUUAUACCUCCACCUCCAGCUUUUUCAACAUUAACCACUUCGUCUCCGAUCUUUUCUCCAGAAAUGGUAGGUACAUAUUUCUUUCGAAGGUAAUAACACCAGAUCGGCCAAAUAAGAAAAGAAAAGGAAUAGGUUGCACUAUAGGGUUUAACAUCUAUCUUGUUGCUGAAUCAGCUAAGGAUUUUUGUAGUCAUUAUUUAUAAUUUGAUAUUUCGAGAUUCUAAAAAAGACAUUUCUGCAGCCCUCCAUAGGUGAAUCAACUAAUGGUGCUAAAAAUAUGAAUAAUACAUCGCGUGGAGCAGAAGAUGGAAUGUUUGCUGGCUUGUUUGACGCAAACUGGAAGUUUCUCUCCUCCUGGUGACGAACUACCUCCUUUUUGAGAUGUCUCUUGCGGUGGUGAAGGAAGUGGCAUAAACUUUUUGCGUCGAUUAAUUGGAAGCCAAUGCUUGUUACGGAUAUGCAUACUUAAUUAAGUGCAACAUGACACUUCUCUUUUUGGCCAUGCACAUGCUGAUGGUUGUGAUCUGAUCAGUGACUUACAUGAUUCAUAGGUGUGUGACAAUCCUAGUUAGAUGACACUUUGUGAAGUGUAGGGUACUUUUGUAAGCUCCUGGUUGUUGUCAUGUAAAAUGAUGAUGGUUAAUAUAUGUGUGUGCUUGUGUGUGCGCGCGUCACUUUUGUGUCUUCAACUUUCUAGAGUGAUUAUGUACAACUUAUACAUUUGUGCAAAUACAAUGAACGUAUGUGUUUUUACCAUACUAUUUAUAAGUAAUGAUUCCCUAGGGUUCCCAAAC
This 1142-nucleotide long non-coding RNA is filed under the name Triticum aestivum (bread wheat). RNAcentral's name for it is "long non-coding RNA (TAES_LNC026092)". The record is from RNAcentral. Lineage: Eukaryota; Viridiplantae; Streptophyta; Magnoliopsida; Poales; Poaceae.